AUUUGAAGUUGGAAGUAAAAGGGCAUUGUUUACAUACAAAAUAUUGCAAGAGUUGUUUUUGUUCAGUCUUGAUGAAAAAUACCAUUUCGAAUGCUUUCCAAAUUGUAGAUUACCAUAACUAUUAGAAUCCAAAAUCCCACUAAACUUUGGUUGCUGUUCGUGAUGACUGCAAGUGGACCUUGGGAUGACCCCAACUUAAAGGGUUUCCACCGGUUGUUUAACAACCAGACUGGAAGAGGCAGGUCUAACUAUGCGAAGCUGAUGGUGUCUCUCUAUGCGACACUGUACAUAGUGUACAGACUGAAAAAAUCUUCCCCGAAGCCUGCCGAGCCAGAACCCAGCGCCACAGAAGAUACCAACUAGUUGCUGACAGCAAAGUGUGGAUACUUGGUUUUAGGUGUGAUUAACUGGCUUUAUGUGAAUUAUAAAAGACUUUAUGUUUAAAUACACUGUUGUUUGAUUUUUA
Long non-coding RNA from Homalodisca vitripennis (glassy-winged sharpshooter), 466 nucleotides. RefSeq lists it as uncharacterized. The record is from RefSeq and is a predicted model, not a curated record. Lineage: Eukaryota; Metazoa; Arthropoda; Insecta; Hemiptera; Cicadellidae. The transcript has 2 exons.